RNAcentral lists this ribosomal RNA (253 nucleotides) under uncultured bacterium. Its description in RNAcentral is "partial 16S ribosomal RNA". It matches the Rfam family "Bacterial small subunit ribosomal RNA", at positions 524 to 776 of the family's 1533-position model. The record is from RNAcentral.
UACGUAGGUGGCAAGCGUUGUCCGGAUUUACUGGGUGUAAAGGGCGUGUAGCCGGGUUGACAAGUCAGAUGUGAAAUCCUGCGGCUUAACCGCAGAACUGCAUUUGAAACUGUUGAUCUUGAGUACUGGAGAGGCAGACGGAAUUCCUAGUGUAGCGGUGAAAUGCGUAGAUAUUAGGAGGAACACCAGUGGCGAAGGCGGUCUGCUGGACAGCAACUGACGAUGAGGCGCGAAAGCGUGGGGAGCAAACAGG